Molecule: unclassified non-coding RNA, 223 nt
Filed under: Hevea brasiliensis (rubber tree)
Lineage: Eukaryota; Viridiplantae; Streptophyta; Magnoliopsida; Malpighiales; Euphorbiaceae
Source: RNAcentral
UAUAAUCCUUAUGCAGCUCAUGGUUCUGUGUAUGCAUCCCCCCCAACCAAUCCAGGACAUGCUGGGCAUACCGGAAGCUAUGGCUCAGUGUAUGGCACAAAUUAUGGGUACUAGGCAUAACACCUCCAAGUUAGUUUGGUGAUCAUUGAGGGUGUAAUGAUUUCUAACUUUGUUGGUAAAAUCAUCAAAUAAUUUUAUAAGACAUCUAUAAUGUUGUAUUUUU